Molecule: ribosomal RNA, 497 nt
Filed under: uncultured bacterium
Lineage: Bacteria
Description: partial 16S ribosomal RNA
Rfam family: Bacterial small subunit ribosomal RNA
Source: RNAcentral
GAUGAACGCUGGCGGCGUGCCUAAUACAUGCAAGUCGAGCGAACAGACGAGGAGCUUGCUCCUUCGACGUUAGCGGCGGACGGGUGAGUAACACGUAGGUAACCUACCUAUAAGACUGGGAUAACUUCGGGAAACCGGAGCUAAUACCGGAUAAUAUUUCGAACCGCAUGGUUCGAUAGUGAAAGAUGGCUUUGCUAUCACUUAUAGAUGGACCUGCGCCGUAUUAGCUAGUUGGUAAGGUAACGGCUUACCAAGGCAACGAUACGUAGCCGACCUGAGAGGGUGAUCGGCCACACUGGAUCUGAGACACGGUCCAGACUCCUACGGGAGGCAGCAGUAGGGAAUCUUCCGCAAUGGGCGAAAGCCUGACGGAGCAACGCCGCGUGAGUGAUGAAGGUCUUCGGAUCGUAAAACUCUGUUAUUAGGGAAGAACAAACGUGUAAGUAACUGUGCACGUCUUGACGGUACCUAAUCAGAAAGCCACGGCUAACUACGUG